RNAcentral lists this transfer RNA (91 nucleotides) under Trametes pubescens. It matches the Rfam family "tRNA". Rfam says of the family: Transfer RNA (tRNA) molecules are approximately 80 nucleotides in length. Their secondary structure includes four short double-helical elements and three loops (D, anti-codon, and T loops). Lineage: Eukaryota; Fungi; Basidiomycota; Agaricomycetes; Polyporales; Polyporaceae. The record is from Rfam by way of RNAcentral.
GACACUAUGGCCGAGUGGUUAAGGCGACAGAUUCGAAUUAAGUGAUAUCUGUUUCGGUUUCCGAGCGCAGGUUCAAAUCCUGCUGGUGUCG